AGAGUUUGAUCCUGGCUCAGAAUCAACGCUGGCGGCGUGCCUAACACAUGCAAGUCGAACGCGAAAGUGGAGCAAUCCAUGAGUAGAGUGGCAAACGGGUGAGUAACACGUGGGUGACCUGCCUCCGAGUGGGGGAUAACGUCCCGAAAGGGACGCUAAUACCGCAUAACAUCCCGCCUUUUAACAGGUGGAGAUCAAAGCUGGGGAUCGCAAGACCUAGCGCUUGAAGAGGGGCCCGCGUCUGAUUAGCUAGUUGGUGGGGUAACGGCUCACCAAGGCAACGAUCAGUAUCCGGCCUGAGAGGGCGGACGGACACACUGGGACUGAGACACGGCCCAGACUCCUACGGGAGGCAGCAGUGGGGAAUUGUUCGCAAUGGGCGCAAGCCUGACGACGCAACGCCGCGUGGAGGAUGAAGACCUUCGGGUCGUAANCUCCUUUCGAUCGAGACGAAUGGCCUCCGGGUGAAUAAUCCGGAGGAGUGACGGUACCGAGAGAAGAAGCCCC
Molecule: ribosomal RNA, 507 nt
Filed under: uncultured bacterium
Lineage: Bacteria
Description: bacterial SSU rRNA
Rfam family: Bacterial small subunit ribosomal RNA
Source: RNAcentral